Molecule: ribosomal RNA, 497 nt
Filed under: uncultured bacterium
Lineage: Bacteria
Description: partial 16S ribosomal RNA
Rfam family: Bacterial small subunit ribosomal RNA
Source: RNAcentral
GAUGAACGCUGGCGGCGUGCCUAAUACAUGCAAGUCGAGCGAACAGACGAGGAGCUUGCUCCUCUGACGUUAGCGGCGGACGGGUGAGUAACACGUGGAUAACCUACCUAUAAGACUGGGAUAACUUCGGGAAACCGGAGCUAAUACCGGAUAAUAUAUUGAACCGCAUGGUUCAAUAGUGAAAGACGGUUUUGCUGUCACUUAUAGAUGGAUCCGCGCCGCAUUAGCUAGUUGGUAAGGUAACGGCUUACCAAGGCAACGAUGCGUAGCCGACCUGAGAGGGUGAUCGGCCACCCUGGAACUGAGACACGGUCCAGACUCCUACGGGAGGCAGCAGUAGGGAAUCUUCCGCAAUGGGCGAAAGCCUGACGGAGCAACGCCGCGUGAGUGAUGAAGGUCUUCGGAUCGUAAAACUCUGUUAUUAGGGAAGAACAAAUGUGUAAGUAACUAUGCACGUCCUGACGGUACCUAAUCAGAAAGCCACGGCUAACUACGUG